GGCGGAAUAGUUUAGUUGGCGAGAACAUCGGAAUCAUACUCCGGGUGUCGGGGGUUCAAGUCCCUCUUCCGCCA
This 74-nucleotide transfer RNA is filed under the name prasinophyte sp. MBIC10622. RNAcentral describes it as "tRNA-Met". It matches the Rfam family "tRNA". Rfam says of the family: Transfer RNA (tRNA) molecules are approximately 80 nucleotides in length. Their secondary structure includes four short double-helical elements and three loops (D, anti-codon, and T loops). The record is from RNAcentral. Lineage: Eukaryota; Viridiplantae; Chlorophyta.